UGGGGAAUAUUGGACAAUGGGCGCAAGCCUGAUCCAGCCAUGCCGCGUGAGUGAUGAAGGCCCUAGGGUUGUAAAGCUCUUUCACCGGUGAAGAUAAUGACGGUAACCGGAGAAGAAGCCCCGGCUAACUUCGUGCCAGCAGCCGCGGUAAUACGAAGGGGGCUAGCGUUGUUCGGAUUUACUGGGCGUAAAGCGCACGUAGGCGGACUUUUAAGUCAGGGGUGAAAUCCCGGGGCUCAACCCCGGAACUGCCUUUGAUACUGGUAGUCUUGAGUUCGAGAGAGGUGAGUGGAAUUCCGAGUGUAGAGGUGAAAUUCGUAGAUAUUCGGGGGAACACCAGUGGCGAAGGCGGCUCACUGGCUCGAUACUGACGCUGAGGUGCGAAAGCGUGGGGAGCAAACAGG
This 404-nucleotide ribosomal RNA is filed under the name Verrucomicrobiota bacterium. RNAcentral's name for it is "Verrucomicrobia bacterium partial 16S ribosomal RNA". It matches the Rfam family "Bacterial small subunit ribosomal RNA", at positions 355 to 776 of the family's 1533-position model. The record is from RNAcentral. Lineage: Bacteria; Pseudomonadati; Verrucomicrobiota.